Molecule: ribosomal RNA, 155 nt
Filed under: Cornus amomum (silky dogwood)
Lineage: Eukaryota; Viridiplantae; Streptophyta; Magnoliopsida; Cornales; Cornaceae
Description: 5.8S ribosomal RNA
Rfam family: 5.8S ribosomal RNA
About the family: 5.8S ribosomal RNA (5.8S rRNA) is a component of the large subunit of the eukaryotic ribosome.
Source: RNAcentral
GACUCUCGACAACGGAUAUCUCGGCUCUCGCAUCGAUGAAGAACGUAGUGAAAUGCGAUACUUGGUGUGAAUUGCAGAAUCCCGUUAACCAUCGAGUCUUUGAACGCAAGUUGCGCCCGAAGCCGUCAGGCCGAGGGCACGUCUGCCUGGGCGUC